UACGUAGGGUGCAAGCGUUAAUCGGAAUUACUGGGCGUAAAGCGUGCGCAGGCGGUUUUGUAAGUCUGACGUGAAAUCCCCGGGCUAAACCUGGGAAUUGCGUUGGAGACUGCAAGGCUAGAAUCUGGCAGAGGGGGGUAGAAUUCCACGUGUAGCAGUGAAAUGCGUAGAGAUGUGGAGGAACACCGAUGGCGAAGGCAGCCCCCUGGGUCAAGAUUGACGCUCAUGCACGAAAGCGUGGGGAGCAAACAGG
This 253-nucleotide ribosomal RNA is filed under the name uncultured bacterium. RNAcentral's name for it is "partial 16S ribosomal RNA". It matches the Rfam family "Bacterial small subunit ribosomal RNA", at positions 524 to 776 of the family's 1533-position model. The record is from RNAcentral.